Molecule: ribosomal RNA, 497 nt
Filed under: uncultured bacterium
Lineage: Bacteria
Description: partial 16S ribosomal RNA
Rfam family: Bacterial small subunit ribosomal RNA
Source: RNAcentral
GAUGAACGCUGGCGGCGUGCCUAAUACAUGCAAGUCGAGCGAACGGACGAGAAGCUUGCUGCUCUGAUGUUAGCGGCGGACGGGUGAGUAACACGUGGAUAACCUACCUAUAAGACUGGGAUAACUUCGGAAAACCGGAGCUAAUACCGGAUAAUAUUUUGAACCGCAUGGUUCAAAAGUGAAAGACGGUCUUGCUGUCACUUAUAGAUGGAUCCGCGCUGCAUUAGCUAGUUGGUAAGGUAACGGCUUACCAAGGCAACGAUGCAUAGCCGACCUGAGAGGGUGAUCGGCCACACUGGAACUGAGACACGGUCCAGACUCCUACGGGAGGCAGCAGUAGGGAAUCUUCCGCAAUGGGCGAAAGCCUGACGGAGCAACGCCGCGUGAGUGAUGAAGGUCUUCGGAUCGUAAAACUCUGUUAUUAGGGAAGAACAUAUGUGUAAGUAACUGUGCACAUCUUGACGGUACCUAAUCAGAAAGCCACGGCUAACUACGUG